RNAcentral lists this transfer RNA (77 nucleotides) under Clostridia bacterium. Its description in RNAcentral is "tRNA-Met". It matches the Rfam family "tRNA". Rfam says of the family: Transfer RNA (tRNA) molecules are approximately 80 nucleotides in length. Their secondary structure includes four short double-helical elements and three loops (D, anti-codon, and T loops). Further hydrogen bonds mediate the characteristic L-shaped molecular structure. tRNAs have two regions of fundamental functional importance: the anti-codon, which is responsible for specific mRNA codon recognition, and the 3' end, to which the tRNAs corresponding amino acid is attached (by aminoacyl-tRNA synthetases). tRNAs cope with the degeneracy of the genetic code in two manners: having more than one tRNA (with a specific anti-codon) for a particular amino acid; and 'wobble' base-pairing, i.e. permitting non-standard base-pairing at the 3rd anti-codon position. The record is from RNAcentral. RNAcentral also lists the same sequence under 1 other name. Lineage: Bacteria; Bacillati; Bacillota; Clostridia.
GGCGGAAUAGCUCAGUUGGCUAGAGCACUCGGUUCAUACCCGAACGGUCGGCGGUUCAAAUCCACCUUCCGCUACCA